CACCAGUGGGACUGUCCGACGCGGCCCACUCCCAUCCCCCCUGUUUUGUUUGCGCUCUUACCUCACCUUUAGCUCUCAAGCGAUGGCUUCUGCAGUAGCCAAUGUCAACGCCUCGGCGAAGCAGAUGACGGACAAGGAGAUCACCCGCCAUCGCGUCAUGGCUCGCCUGAGUGAAAUCCGCACGCAGCCCCUGAAGCAGCUGCCCAUGACCGUCUUCAUGAUGUGGAUGGUGGGCAAUGAGGUCAGCAUCUUCUCGAUCAUGUUUGUCGGCAUGGCCGUUGUGAACCCGCUGCAGUCUAUUCUGAGUGCUGGCAAGCUGUUCGCUGACUUCGAAGAGGACACAAAGACCGACCGGCAGAUUCGAUCGGCCGUGAAUCAGGCCCGCUGGAUCUACAUUGGCUGCUGCCUCAUCGCCUUUUUGGUGGCACUUGUGAAGCUGAACUGGAUGGAGCUGCUGCCGGUGAGCUCCAUGGACUGGAUGGACAACACGCCGCCGACAUACCAGGAGCUCAGCAGCGGUGCCUUCUACCGUUGAGCUCUCGCGGAUUAUCUGACGGACGCAGCGUGAACAUGCGCACGGAGCGAAGGGAUCAGCGACGCUGUACCUUGAUGUGUGCACGUGUGUUCUCACUCGCUCUUCCUCUUGUGCGCCGCUUCGGACUGCAUGUGCCGGCGCCAUGUGAAGAGCGGCGUGCUGCUCUUUCGUGCUAUGCGUGUGUGGUGGUGGCGUCCACGCUGUCUCGCCUGCCGGUGCCGCUGUGGGCUGCCGUGUCUGUUCUAAUAGCCGUUGUGUGUGUGUGUGUGUGUGUGUGUGUCUGCCCGUGUGUGAGAGGUAAGCGGAUGUGUGGAUGAUGGGCUAUGGAAGCCGUCGAGAGGCGUAGGGCAUCUGCAGUGGCCCGGUGCCAAGGUCAGACACGGAGGGAGUUAGCCGGAGAGGGCCCGGGUCUCGAGCUGGCGGCAUGAUGGUUGCGCUCUGCGGCCUCCAGCACCGUCAUCGAUUGGCCAGUCCAGGUCCUCCGUCUUUUGUGAUCGCGCUUGGGGAUGCUGCGAAUCCGCUGGCCACGGUGUGGGUGUGACUGUGUGCGCCUUUGGUGCUUAUAUCGUUGUGUGCGGUUCACGGGCCCGCUUGUUUUGGAUUCGG
Molecule: unclassified non-coding RNA, 1141 nt
Filed under: Leishmania donovani
Lineage: Eukaryota; Euglenozoa; Kinetoplastea; Trypanosomatida; Trypanosomatidae
Description: gene:LdHU3.30.2320(CDS-product:Protein_of_unknown _function_(DUF1077)_putative)
Source: RNAcentral